AUGAACAAGGUUAAAAAGGUAACAUGUAGUUUGUCCCAAGGUGUCUGCCUCCUCACCCAGAGCAAGACCUCCUCACCCAGAGCCAGACCUCCACCUCCUGUCAGAAGUCCUCCAGAACAGCUGAAAGGUGAGGCUGAGAGGCUGGGGACCGGAGGCUUGUGGUGCCAGGAGGGACCAGAGACUGAGGCUGGAGACCAGGGGCCUGCAGCACCGGACCAGAGGACCAGGAAUCUAUUUCUGGGGGAGCCGUGCUGAAGGAGCUGCUGGAGGAGUCGUGCUGAGGGCCUGCCUGCUGGUGGAGAAGUCGUGCUGAGGGCCUGCCUGCUGGAGGAGCUGGUGGAGGAGUCGUGCUGAGGGCCUGCCUGGUGGAGGAGCUGGUGGAGGCCCUGCCUGGUGAAGGACGUCUGUCGUGGGGUAGAUGGAGCUUGAAGCUCUGAAGUGAUCAUCACACUCACUGUCACUUCUCGUAGAAUACUGCUACCACAAACUACUGGCGUUUGUGCCAUUAUAUACCAGACGACUACAUCUGUUUUACCACAUGUUGAAGCAAAACUUCCGCUGUUUGUUCCAGACCAGGAAUCUGUCUGAGGAGAGCUGCUGGAUUCCUCGUAAGUUUGUAUUUACUUACAUGGUUGACUUAGAGGGGAAAAUACAGCUGUUCCUUGGACAUGCGUUAACCAACUACCGCUGUGUUUUCUUACUAGAACGUGUUUCUGGAGCGGAGGCGAGCUGGUAGGGGAGCCAUGAAUCUGGAGGAUGACCAUCACUCUACCAACAAGGAUUGUAAGUCUGUAUUAACCUAACAAAGUGGAAAUAAAGGGCUUAAAAAUAAGACAAACUACAUGUUUUUUUACCAGACGUUGGGGCCAGACUCGCGCUGUUUGUUCCAGACCAGGACUCGGGCUGUGGUGAGCUGAUGGAGGAGCCAAGACUCUGGAGGACGACAUCACUCCACCAACCAGGAUCCUCGUGAGUUUGCAUAAAAUAAACAGAGUGGACUUGUUGUAACGCAAGAUUAGUUUGACCAGUACAAGUUACGGCACACUACUGUGGUUGUUUACCAGACAAACUAUAGCUGCUACUUUGUUACACGCCAUUAGAGCCCAACUACAACCGUUUGUUACCUGAUAUUAGAGACAAACUACUACUGUGUUUGUUACCUUUCAUUAGAGACAAACUACUACUGUUUGUUACCUUACAUUAGAGACAAAUUACGUUUGUAACCAGACCAGGAAUCUGGAGGACUGAUGGAGAAGCCGUACAUCUGGAAGGCAAAUCCUGAGGACGACCAGGUCUCUACCAUCAAGGAUUCCUCGUCAGUUUGCAUUAUCUGGACAUAGUGGACUAGGUAGGGGGUUGGGGGUUCAACUCUCAAACCAAUGUUGCCGGGUUCAAGUCCUCAGAAUACAGUGAUGCAUCCUUGAGCAAGGCGCCCUAAAGCCUGCCUGCUCCUUAAUGACUAAUCUUUGGUUCAGAUAAUGUUGCAUCUUUUGAAUAUUGAACCUAAUCAAUGUCCUUGUUUGGUCCGGGCAGACACGCCUGAGCUGAACCUCACCUGAUCCUGUUUGGUCGGGGGUAGACACACCUGAGCUGAACCCGCCCUGAUCCUGACAUCCUGCUGGUCCCGUCUCCUCAGUUCAUCUGCGCCUCGUCCUCCAGAAGACCUGCUGAGCUCAGCAGUCUGAGGCUGAUGGAUCAAUGACCUCCAGUGGGAGUGAUCUUCUUGACCCCACAUGUAACCGUGUGCUUCCACACGCCUUUCCCUCACGUCUGUCACUAACCUCACUGCUUCACUACUCUCUACUGCUUCCUCUUCUUCCUUCUCUGUUGUUCGAACCUUUACACUGGAGGCGCGUCUUCCUGCCCUCAGAGGGUUCAGCGUUAGGG
Molecule: long non-coding RNA, 1887 nt
Filed under: Gadus morhua (Atlantic cod)
Lineage: Eukaryota; Metazoa; Chordata; Actinopteri; Gadiformes; Gadidae
Description: lncRNA (ENSGMOG00000032247.1)
Source: RNAcentral